GAUGAACGCUGGCGGCGUGCCUAAUACAUGCAAGUCGAGCGAACGGACGAGAAGCUUGCUUCUCUGAUGUUAGCGGCGGACGGGUGAGUAACACGUGGAUAACCUACCUAUAAGACUGGGAUAACUUCGGGAAACCGUAGCUAAUACCGGAUAAUAUUUUGAACCGCAUGGUUCAAAAGUGAAAGACGGUCUUGCUGUCACUUAUAGAUGGAUCCGCGCUGCAUUAGCUAGUUGGUAAGGUAACGGCUUACCAAGGCAACGAUGCAUAGCCGACCUGAGAGGGUGAUCGACCACACUGGAACUGAGACACGGUCCAGACUCCUACGGGAGGCAGCAGUAGGGAAUCUUCCGCAAUGGGCGAAAGCCUGACGGAGCAACGCCGCGUGAGUGAUGAAGAUCUUCGGAUCGUAAGACUCUGUUAUUAGGGAAGAACAUAUGUGUAAGUAACUGUGCACAUCUUGACGGUACCUAAUCAGAAAGCCACGGCUAACUACGUG
RNAcentral lists this ribosomal RNA (497 nucleotides) under uncultured bacterium. Its description in RNAcentral is "partial 16S ribosomal RNA". It matches the Rfam family "Bacterial small subunit ribosomal RNA", at positions 28 to 507 of the family's 1533-position model. The record is from RNAcentral.